CAAAAACACCCAACAUUUGCAGAUAGUUACAUACAAUGGUCAAUAACAAAAUAACUAAUUGAUCAUAUCAUUUAUUACAAUUCAUUAUAAAAUCCAUUACAAUUAUUAUCACAGAUAUUCAUAAACAUUGUGCCGAUUUCUACAUUUAAAACAAAUAAUUCAAGAAGUCUUUUCAUAAGAACAUAUAAAAUCAAGUACUAUCAUGAACAGCUAGGCAUUUUUAUUAAUUUUUUUUACAAAAUUAAUAUUAAAAAGGGCCUAUUCCAAACACUAGCUUUUCCCCUCCCAUGUAUUUACAUUUUUUUAGUACAUGUAUAUAUUACAUAUUAGAUGAAAUAGCCCUUUUAGUGUUUUGGACCACUAUAAAUUAAGUAUUCUGACUCUUUGUUGCCACCUACAAUAUUAAAGUGCAAUGAAAAAAUAUGCGUCCAGUAUAGCUGCUGAAAGCUAAACCCAAAAGUAAAAGUUUACAAUAGUUGAUCAUGCAUUAUAAUUGAGGUCAAGGCAACCCAAUUUUUGUCUGAACCUUGCUUUCCUAAUUAAUUACCAUCUAACACCCCUUUCUUUCCCCCCAAUAAAACAAACAAAAACAGGAAUCUAAAACAACAUGAUCUGAGUGAAAAUAUUCAUAACAGGUAACAUAUAUAUUUGAUUUAUUCUAUAAUACAAUAAAUAUGUUAAAUCUUUUUUCAUUAUUUUUUUUCUGAUGAAGAAAAUGAUGAGUGCAGGUAAACUGUUUAUACUAUCAAACUCUAUCUGAUGAAAUAUUUGCAGCUGGGCAUUUUGCAAUAAAAAAUCAAUCAAUCAAAAACUAUCACUGGCUUUGCUGACUGAUCUCUUUUGAAAACCACAUUAUAAAUAAAUCAUUUUUUGCUACAUGAAGAUCUUAUUCCAGCAGAUAUUGAUCCUUGAGAUAAUGGUGUUGUACUAAUGACCUAACUGUUAACUUAGAAAAAUCUAAAAUAGUACAUUUUAGAACACAGUCUGUAUCUAAAUCAAAUUUUUCAUUUUUGUUUAAUGGUAACAAUGUAGAUAUUGUUUCCCAAUACACAUAUUUAGGUUUAUUGUUUACUGAGCAUUUAAGCUAUGAUAAUAUGGCAAAAGCAGUUGCUAAAGCCGCCAGUAGAUCGUUGGGUCUGUUAAUAUCCAAAUGUAAAGCUAAUGGUGGAUUUCAAUAUUGUACAUUUACAAAAUUAUUUGAUACACUUGUAUGGUCUGUAAUAGAUUAUGGUGCCUCUAUAUGGGGAACACGUGAUUUUUCAUGUAUAAAUAGUAUUAAAAAUAGAGCCAUGCGUUUUUUCAUGGGUGUAGGAAAAUACACGCCUAAUAUGUCUUUAUAUGGUGACAUGGGCUGGAUGCCAUGUAAAAUCAAACAGUGGACUAGUGUUUUUAGAAACUGGACACGUUUUAAUAAAAUGAAUGAUGAUAGAGUAAAUAAAAAAGUGUAUAUAUGGGGUAACACAUGUAAAAAAGUCAAAAAUUGGCAUUUUAGAGUAAAAAAUAAGUUUAAAGAACUUAAUAUGGAAUAUUUGUGCAAUGGUGCUAUUUUGAACAAGGAUUUAGUUAAGAAUAUUGAAAAUGUAUGUUUUGAAAAAUUUAAGGGAGAAUGGUAUGACAAGAUUAUGUCAGAUGAUAAAAAUAAAUUACGUACAUAUAGAAUGUUUAAAAAUGUAUAUGGCGUAGAAAAUUAUUUAAUUUUUAAUAUACCAGGUAGAUACAGGAGUGCUUUAGCAAAAUUUAGAUGCGGUGUAGCACCCAUCAGAAUUGAAACUGGUCGUUAUGAGAAUAUUGAUAUUGAAAAUAGAUUAUGUUUUAACUGUACUGAUGACGUUGAAGAUGAAAAACAUGUUUUGUUAAACUGUCCUGUAUAUUCAGAGAUUCGUAAUGUUAUUUUUAACCAUGCUAGUAUUGUUGAUGAGAAUUUUUUACAUAUGUCU
This 1937-nucleotide long non-coding RNA is filed under the name Mytilus galloprovincialis (Mediterranean mussel). The record is from RNAcentral. Lineage: Eukaryota; Metazoa; Mollusca; Bivalvia; Mytilida; Mytilidae.